AGUUCUGUGAUUGGGGCAUGCAGAAUCUUCUGGGUAAUGUAGUCUGUGAGGUCCCUCCCAGGGUUCUGGGUAAUGUAGUUCUGAUUGGGAUACGCAGAGUCUUUUGGGUACUGUAGUCCUCGGUGUGGACUGUCAGGCCAAGAAUUCUGGGUACUGUAGUUGGGGGUGCACACCGGGGCUUUUCGGCUGGGUUAUGACGUGCAAGAUUCUGUAUACGUGCUGCCGAAGCAAGCACAUCGUGGAAGAUUCUGUGACCUCUGCAGGUGAGAAGCCUCCAUCCUUGGCCUCGGCCCUCCUCCAGGACUCAGUCUCCUGCCAAGCCUGCCCUAGGCGUCCCUCAGGCUGAACAGCAGGAGAGUGAGGUGCAGCAGGACCUUGCACUUGCCAGGUAGGUGCUACACCACUGUAGGGAACAGGGGAAGGGGACGUUACCAGAACCUCUGCAGUGAGUCCUAGUCUCCUGUGAGCCACGGCAGCACACGCGAAUUACAGGAAAGGUAGACAAAUGAGACUGAGAAGAAGCUGAGCUUUGGGUCUGAUCAGUGCUGCUCUGGUCAGCAAAGACAAAAGCCCCCCUAGCUUGCAGCACCUUUUAUUCAGUACAUCAGGAGAAACAGAUGUAACAAGUGAAAAUAGAGUUCAGUACUUCACAUUGGGAUAAACAAGGUGUAACGAAAGGCUGGGUGGGGCGACGGAAAUCUAAGAACAAUGAGGAACUAUGCAGAUGAAGAUUUGGUUCCUCCCAGGGCAUCUCCCGCAGGUGUGGUCUUGUCCUGGAGCAUUACAGCAUCAAGGGAUCACUGAAGUCUCAGUUGUGACUGGAGGCCCAACUGGAGUUAUUCUGUAGCUUGGCUGUAGGCAAGAGAACUAGGCAACCAAAUGAUUUUUUCCUAGAAUUAUGUAGCAUUGCUCCCAACACACCACUGUGCUACAUCCUUGGUCUUAAACUUGUUUUGUUUUGUUUUUUGAGAUAGAGUCUCACUCUUAAUUCAGGUUGGCCUUGAACUCACUAUGUUGCCCAGGCAGGCCUCAAACUCAAGGUGAUCCUCCUGCCUCAGCCUCUCGAGUACUGGGAUUACAGGCAUGUGCCACCAUUCUUGUUUUUGAGUAACCACAGGAUUGGUGUCUAACCUUUAAUGCUGUCAGUGGAGUAAAAUGGCCUUUCUGUUCAGCUGUUACAAGCCUAAGAUUGUUAAAGCAUCUUUGAAUGUCUCAUCUUUUCUAGAUUAUCAGUAAGUACUGUUGGUCAAAUAACUUUGGGGGCACUGGAACAUACUUGAAUUAAGAUUGAUUUCAUCUUUUACUUGUCUUUACACUCACUUAAAAUCAGGUAUUCCAUCUAAAUUGUUUGCAUACCUUGUCUGAAAAUCCCACACUUCCGCAAUUAGGUCAGAGGUGAGGGAGGAGGAAAAAUGUUUGACUAAGAUGGGUUGGGAGAGUGAAAGAAUAUUUUAUGUAGACAUUAGUCUUCUGUAAAUAUUACAACUGGAGUACAAAGUAGAAAAAUAUACAGUAGUUAAAACAUUUGCUCUAUAAAUUGUUAACUUUUGGAGAUACAGUGACUGCUACAAAUAGAGGCUUUACACUAAAGGAAAAUUUAUGUCCUUUUGAAAAUGAAAUCUUAUUCCAUAAAUGCAGCCAAACUAAAUAUAAUUAUUAGUUCAAAAAUCAGUGCUGUCAGAGAAAUUAAUCAAGUAGGAAAAUUUUCAACCAGUGACUUUCCAUUUUAAAUUAUGUAGUGUAGUCAAACAUAGUUAUACAGAAUUUUCAUAUUUUUUCUUUGUACAGGGUUAUACAUUAUGGGAUUUUUUUUUUUUUAAAAGAAAAACAUUUUAAAUCCUACCAAUCAACAUUUUCUUUUCUUUUCUUUCAUUCUUUUUUUUUUUUUUGUUGGUACCAGGGAUCAAACUCAGGUCCUUGUUCUUGCAAGGCAGGCAGCGGAACCACUGAGCUAAAUCCCUGGCCCCAAUCAACAUUUUCUAUCAAUCAUGGAUGAACUCAAAUUUUUCUCAGUAAUCUCUGAAAUUUCUUUAAAUUAUAUACUUAGCAGCAGAGAAAAUGGAUCAUUUUGCAUAUAAAGCUGCAUCCACUUCAAAUGCUGUCACAAGUUCUUAAGGGGGAUUUGUCUUAUACGUGAUAUUUUUAAAGUUAAUAAUGUAUUAACUUAUUUUAUAAACUUUUAGACUAUAAUUUUGUUCUGGAAUCAUGGAAAGAAAGACAGGGAGACAAAGAAUUUGGGUAAAAUAAUAAAAGUUUACUUGCAAGCAGGCAGGACUGCCAGAAACUGGCCUGGUCAGAGUCUGCGCCCUGGGUUCUUUGUCCAUCACCUUUUAUACUUUUGUCAGUCAUUAUCUCAUCCCUAGUGGUCUUUGUUAAGUAAAUAAAGUUCCAAUUCCUGUUUAAUGGUUAGACACAGGUGGUUUCUGUCACUGAUUACAGUCCCAUGACAGUUAAGGCACAUAUAGCACAAGUUUGUUCAAGGAUUCCCACUUUGUCCUUCAGAGCUAGGAUGUUAUCUAUAGUGGAGCUGCAGAUCAAAGGAGCUAAAAACCCUUCACUUUAAUCAACAAAAGCAGCGGGCUAAGGCAAGCUUUUAAAGGGAUACACUACCUAUUUUGCUUCCACAACUAAUUUAAUAGCUAAUCAACUAAACUUACUUUAAAACUUUUCCCUGUCAGUUUGAUCUGUACAUUUUAAUGUCAGCCACCUCUCAAGUUAGUCUAUAAGUGUUGUAUAAUUUUCUUUGGUCACUAUUAUUUGGACUAAGUAGUACCACUUGGGUCAGGAUUUUCUUCAAUACCAUGUAUUUAGCAAACCAACUGUCUUUGGUCUAUGCAACUAGCAAAAAUUUGUAUAAUACAACAGAAUAUGAUUCUCACACUUAACUUUCACAUGAGGAGUUUUUCUGGAACCCAGUCUAGCAAAAUUAGAGGGAAAGUUUUAAAAAAUAUUUAAGAGAAAAAGCCAACAUUUUCAGGCUAAAUAGUUGAAUCUGUAAUUUAAAGAUUGUAGAUAAUGUUUAUUAUCUCAACUCUCCAAAGUUUGUUGUGUUGAACUAUCAUUUGAGCUUAUUUGUGAGGUGGCUGAAUACAAUUGGGCAGCUAAAUUUCAGUUACAUAUGUCUCCUGUAUAGACAGAAAAUAAGCAGUUAUUGUAAACUGACUUGCAGACAAAGUAGGAAUUGUUCUGCAUGUUGUUUUUGUAAAGACAUGACAUUUUCAAAGAAGCACAUGCCAUCCAAUUUUCUGUCAGUCAUACCAUUGUAUAAAACAGAAAAACUGAAGGGGAGAAAUGAUUAUUGUAUACAUGGAAUUGCUUUGGAUGAUCUCAUUUGAGAUAAUUGGUGUAGGAAUCAUAAUUUUGUAUGUCUGGAAAUUUAAAUGGAAACAUGAAUACAUGCUUUCAGUUCUUUUGGAUAUCUACAUAGGAAUGGAAGGGUUGAAUGGUACAGUCAAUUUGUUAUCAGCCACUUAGGCUCAUACCCUCAGGUUUGUCUGCUCCCUGAUGACCAGAUCAAAAGAGGGCAUAUAUUUGGGUAAAAAAGAAAAAGGAUUUAUUUAUUUAAAGGUAGCUCUGAAGAGAUAGAGGUGCCCAUUUGCCUCAAAUCCCCAUAUGUGCACAAGGGAGUUUUAUAGUAAGAAACAGAGGGGAGGGGGAAACACAGAGAGACUGUAGAUCUUUACAUUUGCUUCAUCACUUUUAUUAAUCUUCAGCUUUUUUUUUUUUUUUUUUUUUAAACAGAAGUCAGGUUCCUGGCCUCCUGGGGCGGCAUCUAUACAUUUUGUCACUUUUUUGUUUAGGCUGAGUGGUGUUGGAGGAAGCUGUUUAUGUCCUACGCCCCAGGAAGUUACUUGUCUCUAAAGGAAAAAAAAAGUUUUAUUUUUCAGUGCCAGUUAUAAUUCCCCCUUCCUUAUUUGAGCCCUCAUUCUUGAGGGUACUGAGUAUCAGGCCUUCCCUAAAUCAACAGGGAAAAUAAACAGGGUGCUUUGAACAAAUACCAGCAGCUUCCCAGUAAGUGAGGUAAAUGGACUAAAAAAUAUGGUCUAUCACCCCGGCACUGAACAAUCCAAUAAGUGUAUACAUGCCUGAGCAGACCGUCCAGACCACCGUAAGUUAUAAAUAUGUUACCCCAGAUUCCUUAGCCCCUUCCAUACCUAUAUAAGCUUAGUUCCAUUCCAAGUUAAUUGCUAGUAUCUCUCUUCCUUGGUGUUAGCCCAUCCUCUCAAGGAUGAAAUCUCUCCCAGCAAGCCACCGCUAUCUCUCUCCCUCCCACUGCUGACCAUUAGAAUCCCCUGACCUUAGUCCUUGUCCCUGUUCACUGGAAUAAACUUUUCCUUUUUUAAAUUACAAGCUAAGUUUUAUUAUUACAAAUAUAAUUACAGAUAAACAGGCCAUUUUUGAUACAUGAUAAAACAUUUCCUGUGUAUAGCACACAAAAAAUAUAUAAGUUCAUUCUACAAUUGAACAAAAGAUUUUUCUUUUUUGCAGUACUGUGAUUGACUCAAAGCCUUGGCACUGAGCUACAUUACCAGCCUUUUAAAAAUAUUUUUAUUUUGAAACAGGGUUUUGCUAAGUCACUAAAUUGUUCAGACAAGACUUGAAGUUGUAGUCCUACCUCAGGCUGUCAAGGUGCUGGGAUUAUAAGCAUGUGUUACCACGCCCAUCACUGAGCAAAUACUUUUAAAAACUUUUAACAGUUAAUACAUUAUCUUAUUAGAAUUUGAAUGCAGUACAUUUCUGAUAAACUUUUCUUUUUCUCACAAUGGAGAGCCUGUCUUGUUGACAAGUGGAUUCUGUAUAACAUCUUUUUUGGUACCGGGGAUUGAACUUGGGACCUUGCACUUGCAAGGCAGGUGCUGGAACCACGGAGCUACAUCCCCGCUCCACAUCUUUUAAAACUAUUUGUUUUGAGACAGGGUCUUGCCAUAUAGUCCAGGGUACCCUCUAAUUCACAGUGAUUCUCCUGACUCAGCUUCUUCUUCUUUUUUUUAAGUUUUUGAGACAGGGUCUUACUAUGUAGCCCAGGGUGACCUCAAACUCACAGCAAUCCUGCCUCAUCUUCCUGUGUGCUGGAAUUAUAGGUAUGCACCACCACCAUGCCUGAACCUUUUAAAACCAUUUUAAAAAAGUCAUGUGAACAAAGAGAUAUUUGGGUUUAUUUUUUUUUAGGUCAUUGAGUACUUUAAAAAAAAGUAAUCUGGUACCAUCUAAACAAUAUAUAAAUGCAAGUAUAUGGAUAGGCAUAACAUAAUAUAUACAUUCAUGCCAACACACAUAAAACAACAACUUAAAGUUAUAAUUUAUCAUCUUUUUUUUUUUCCCCACUUUUCUUUUUUGGUACUGGGAAUCGAACCCAGGGCCUCACGGUUGCUGGGCAGGCGCUGUGCCACCAAGCUAAAUCCCCAGCCCAAUUUAUCAUCUUUUAAAAAGUUAUAUUUUUUUGGAAGGGCUGGGGAUUUAGCUCAGUGGUUCUGCCAACUGCCUCGCAAGUGCAAGGACCCAAGUUCGAUCCCUGGUACCCCCCAAAGUUAUAUUAUUGGCUGGGGAUUUAGCUCAGUGCCACUGAGCUAAGCAGAAGGUCCUGAGUUUGAUCCCUGGUACGGUAAAAUUUUUUUUUUAUAUUAUUGUGUUUUUAAAUAGUCUUAUGUAAUAUUUAAUCUUAAAUUUGCAUAUCUGAAGAUAGGAUUCAGGUUGUAACCAGGUUGGAAAUUUAUAUCUCAAAGGAGAUUGCUUGCCUAGUAAAAUGGAACAUGAAAUUUUUGAAGUUUUCAUUUUUUCCUUAUAGAUCUUGGUCAAUUUAAGACUUUUAUUGUGCUAAAAUUUAGAUAUACAUGGUCAAAAAUUUAUGUCUUAUCUAAUAUGAAAAAUAAUCCAUUUUAGAAACAAUAUUCCCCACAAAAAAAAAACAGAAAGGCAAAACAUCUGUAUCUUAGCCAAUCUUAUUUUAAUGAAUCUUUUUUUUUUUGUACUGGGGAAUGAACUCGCAUCCUUGUGCUUGCGUAGCAGGUGGUGAAACCACUGAGCUAAAUCCCCGGCCCUUAAUGAAUCUUUUGAAGGAAAGCCCUAUGAGAUCAGAGUGUGAUUUCAUGUAUUUGAUGU
This 6099-nucleotide long non-coding RNA is filed under the name Heterocephalus glaber (naked mole-rat). RNAcentral describes it as "lncRNA (ENSHGLG00000044608.1)". Lineage: Eukaryota; Metazoa; Chordata; Mammalia; Rodentia; Bathyergidae. The record is from RNAcentral.